Long non-coding RNA from Marmota monax (woodchuck), 433 nucleotides. RefSeq lists it as uncharacterized. The transcript is spliced from 2 exons. The record is from RefSeq and is a predicted model, not a curated record. NCBI's taxonomy places the organism in Eukaryota, Metazoa, Chordata, Mammalia, Rodentia, Sciuridae.
GGAGAGCAAGGCGCAGGAAUGUGGGAGCUCCCGUUGGACCAGAGGCAGGAGACGUCUCACUGCACAGGUGACGUCUGAGCCCGGAACGGAGGAGCCACAUCUUGUUCUGGAGAAGAAUGUUCCCUGCUGAAAACUGCAUGGACCCAGGGGACAGCCACCUGGCUGAAGGCCAUGGGUGGGAUGUACGUCCUGAUCCAGACUGAGUGCCAGGUCCUGCUGCCUCCUGUGGUGCUGACAGGGACCUGGGUAAGGAGCCUCCACAGGCUUCUCCACUGCGAAGCUACGGCCUUAUCUUGGUCACUAAUAAGUGUCUCUCGAGGCAUGUUUUAUAACGAUGUGAAUGUUCUGUGAGACUCAGCCAUUCCCUAGUUUUAACACUUAUUAAUGGAUUUCGUCUGAAUCAGUUCUUAUUAAAAUAUUUGCCAAACCCUGA